Magallana angulata is the source of this 3325-nucleotide long non-coding RNA. RefSeq lists it as uncharacterized. The record is from RefSeq and is a predicted model, not a curated record. NCBI's taxonomy places the organism in Eukaryota, Metazoa, Mollusca, Bivalvia, Ostreida, Ostreidae. The transcript has 3 exons.
UUUUACUAAAGUUAUACGUUAUAUUACAAAAUCAGUUUAAAAUCAAGCACUAGCCAUGUGGUGCACGUGAUUUUAAUCCCAUUUUUAAAAUUUGAUUAUACAUUCGUAUACAUUUGAUGUAGAAAGUAUACCAAAUAAUUAAAAUUAUAUUUUGUUUAUAUAUCAGUCCGACGUGUACGUCUUACUUCCCGGCUUGUUUAACGCGUUUGUAUUUUAAUUCAUAAGUAUUCUUAACAUACUGUUCAUCGCAUGACCAAUCAGUGCACAUGUGUAACUGUAAAAUAAUUGCCAUCAAUUCAUCGUAGUUGUAAAUUCACCGUACGGGUGAACGCUGUUAACCGGACCCCGUUAAUUGAUCGGCAUCUAAUUAUAUUUGUGAUUUCUGUGUGUGUUCAUGCAGAACCUGCUCUGUGAUGAACAUAAUAUUUUCACACCUCUAUAUUUUGAAUAAGAAUAUGACCGUGCUUAGAAUCGCUCAAGACUAACUUGUCAGUAAACUAUAUAUGGCUCUAUCAUAUUUAGUUUGGCAAAAUCAUCAGUACAUGUAAAUAAAAUAUAGUUAAAGACAAAAUCUGAUACAUAUGUCUCAUUAAAACUUGUAAAAUUUCAUUAGACAUUUGUAAACAAAAGGUCGGCCAUUUUUUUUUUUUGGUUAAUCACGUGUUACAAAUACAAUUGUAACAAACACACGCCAAUACUUUGUCGUAUUUAACCAGGUAAUACUGACUCCGACAGUUCUUAUUCAAAAUAAAUAUACAUGUAAAAAGUAUACUAUUCGGUAAAAAAUGAUAAUUUUGAUUAAACAUUAUUUAUUUUAAACUAUCCCAAGAUGCACUUUUCCAAGAUUUAGCGGGUUCUGAUUGGUCAGUAUUGGCGCACUUUAUGAUUCCGAGCGAAGGUUAAAAUGGACAAGAAGGUGCUGUUGUAAAAUGGAGAAUUGAGAAGCAUUAAUAGCCUCUACAACAAGGAGACAAUGCAGGAACGAAGAACUCAUGUCAAGCAUUGACAGCAUACAAAGUCAAUGUUUCCGGUGAUUAGUUGCAUCCUCUGUUCGGUGAUUCGGGUGAAUGUUUUGACCAGCUGGACGAUGUGAACGCAAGAUAAAUAGAACAGACAUGAAGUACAGCCCAGUGAAUGGAACAAGUUCAUUGCAAGAAGAAGAAUUUUAAUGCUACCACUGUCCAGAACUACUAAGUCUGCUGUAGCCAUGAUGUGAUCAUAUGAGUGCUUCACCGGUCUGGACAAUGCUCGAAAGUCCCCCAAAAAGGCCUAUUUCCAUAAACUACGACUCGGGUUACAUCAACAACAGCCAAGGACACUCCUUAUUGAUUCGAAUGGACACAUCUCUACGACCCGACUAAACCUCUGCAGAACAAGACUUUUUAACUGUAAAGUAUUCUCAUUUCAAAAAACCUAUAAACUAUAAAAGUACUUUUUUUUAUAUGAUCAAAAACCAGUAUAUUACAAUGUCUGUCUGUAAGCUAGAAUCUUAGAAAAUCACAUGGUUUUGACUUAUUAAAUGAUUGAUUAGACCUUGCAGAUAUUAACUUUCAUUUUCUUAAAUAAUUUGUUAUAUUUGCAAAUAUUGCAUAAAAUAUUAGACUCCAUGUAACAUAUAUCCUCACACCUCCAAGUUGAUAAGUGUUAACUACUUUUUUUUCCAUUUUCUUUGUUUAAACAUUUAUUGAUAACUUAGUUUUUAUUUGCAGCAAUAUAUGAAAAAUUAAGAAACCAAUCUUAAAUGUAAAAACACUGCAUUAGGAGAUGAAUGCAUGGGUCAUAGAAAUGAUAAAAUACACCAAACAAUAUUCAAUUAUGUCGUAUAUGAAAAUAUAUAAAGACAACAAAUACCCCAUGUAUUACAAUUUUUAUAUAACAAAAUUACUUGGAUGGAAAGUUGUUUCCAUGUGGGUUUUAUUUUAAUCUGUGUUAUGUAACUAAUAUAUAAUUGGAAUUAGCUUUUAUAUCAUAAGUAAAGUGCUGGUAUUGAUGAGAAUUGUAAGGUGAAUGAUCUGUGUGAUACUUUGUAUUUUAUACAUUCAUGCUACAAAAAGCAAGUACAUGUACAUGUAGUAAUACUUGUCGUAUAUAAACAAUGUAUAUUUUACUUCAUGUCUUGGAUUUAAAAAUAUUAAUGUAGGUAAAGUAGUGAAAUGUAGGAAGGUAAACCUGCUCCAUUGUUAGCUUUUUAUUGGCCAACAAGCUUUUCAUAUCUCCCUAUGGGUCAUCUAUUAAAUACUGACAGGCUUAUGAUAUUAAAAUCUGAUCAGUUGGUACAUCAUGGGUGGAAAUGAAAAGUUCACUUUGGACUUAAUGGAUUAUCAAAAAAAUGAUAUAAAAUCCUGUUCUAUUGUAAAACAUUAGAUUAUAUUACUAACAAAGAAAAGGUUUAUCCCAACUUGUAAGUGGGUCACUUUGACCUCAUUUUGGAAUUUAUUGACAUAUUCAAAUCAAAUCUGGCUCAUACCUCUAUAGUCAACUACUAUCUUGUAGUGUAUUUUUUCAAAAAUAUUUUAUGGUGUACAUAUUCAUUGUAGUUCAAAACAAAUUGAGACAAGUGUAUCAUGUUCAUGUAACAGUGAAGUUUUCUUUGUUUAUUCAUGUACGUGCAGUUAUUUUGUAAAUUGCAUUCAUAUUUUUAAAAAAGUAAGAUCUUUGUUGCAUUUUUAAAGGGAGAUUUGAUAGGCAUUUAAUCGAGAUGAAAAGAAAAUACAAAUGUAAAGAUUUCUAUGGGAGUUUUUUUUCUUGUGCAAUUUUAUCAUUUUUAAAUAAAAGUCCCUAAUAAGGGAAUUGCUAUAUGGAUGUUUCUCCAUUAUUGUAUCUUGGCUGUAUUUUAUUUAUUAUUGGAAACAAUUUCAGAUUUUUGAACAAAAUAAAUUAGGAACUGUUUGAAAUUGUUUUGUUUUUACAUAAAGUAGAAACCUUGCUCAGCUUUUGUGAAAGCAAAAAUAUAAAAAGUUUCAGUAAGUUUCAGUUGCGGAAACCCUUUGUAAACAAUAUGUUUCCCAAUUGUAUAUGGAGGUUGAAACUAUGCAGAAACUUCAAGUUUCAGUAAGUUUCCGUCGCGGAAACCAUUUGUAAACAAUAUGUAUCCCAAACGUAUAUGGAGAUUGAAACUAUGCAGAAACUUCAAGUUUCAGUAAGUUUCCGUUGCGGAAACCAUUUGGAUUCAUGGACAGCCUAAGUUUCAGCACUGCGGAAACUUAAUGAAACUUGAAGUUUCCGUGCUGAAACCUGUCGGAAACUUAAAGUAACCUUAAGUUUCCGCAGAGUUUCCAAAGGGUUUCCGCAGCGCUGAAACCAGAUAUUUCAUCCAGUGCAUCUA